GACGAACGCUGGCGGCGUGCCUAAUACAUGCAAGUAGGACGCACAGUCUAUACCGUAGCUUGCUACACCAUAGGCUUGUGAGUUGCGAACGGGUGAGUAACGCGUAGGUAACCUGCCUAUUAGAGGGGGAUAACUAUUGGAAACGAUAGCUAAUACCGCAUAACAGUAUGUAACACAUGUUAGAUGCUUGAAAGAUGCAAUUGCAUCGCUAGUAGAUGGACCUGCGUUGUAUUAGCUAGUAGGUAGGGUAAAGGCCUACCUAGGCAACGAUACAUAGCCGACCUGAGAGGGUGAUCGGCCACACUGGGACUGAGACACGGCCCAGACUCCUACGGGAGGCAGCAGUAGGGAAUCUUCGGCAAUGGGGGGAACCCUGACCGAGCAACGCCGCGUGAGUGAAGAAGGUUUUCGGAUCGUAAAGCUCUGUUGUUAAGGAAGAACGAGUGUGAGAAUGGAAAGUUCAUGCUGUGACGGUACUUAACCAGAAAGGGACGGCUAA
Molecule: ribosomal RNA, 499 nt
Filed under: Streptococcus anginosus
Lineage: Bacteria; Bacillati; Bacillota; Bacilli; Lactobacillales; Streptococcaceae
Description: bacterial SSU rRNA
Rfam family: Bacterial small subunit ribosomal RNA
Source: RNAcentral